AGUGAACGCUGGCGGUAGGCCUAACACAUGCAAGUCGAACGGCAGCACAGUAAGAGCUUGCUCUUACGGGUGGCGAGUGGCGGACGGGUGAGGAAUACAUCGGAAUCUACUUUUUCGUGGGGGAUAACGUAGGGAAACUUACGCUAAUACCGCAUACGACCUACAGGUGAAAGCAGGGGAUCUUCGGACCUUGCGCGAUUGAAUGAGCCGAUGUCGGAUUAGCUAGUUGGCGGGGAAAAGGCCCACCAAGGCGACGAUCCGUAGCUGGCCUGAGAGGAUGUUCAGCCACACUGGAACUGAGACCCGGCCCGGCCUCCUACGGGAGGCAGCAUAGGGGAUUAUUGGACAUUGGGCGCAAGCCUGCUCCAGCCCUACCGCGUGGGUGAAGAAGGCCUUCGGGUUGUAAAGCCCUUUUUUUGGGAAAGAAAAGUAUCAGGUUAAUACCCCGCUGUUCUGACGGUACCCUACGAAUAAGCACCGGCUAACUUCGUG
Molecule: ribosomal RNA, 492 nt
Filed under: uncultured bacterium
Lineage: Bacteria
Description: partial 16S ribosomal RNA
Rfam family: Bacterial small subunit ribosomal RNA
Source: RNAcentral